This 492-nucleotide ribosomal RNA is filed under the name uncultured bacterium. RNAcentral's name for it is "partial 16S ribosomal RNA". It matches the Rfam family "Bacterial small subunit ribosomal RNA", at positions 29 to 507 of the family's 1533-position model. The record is from RNAcentral.
AGUGAACGCUGGCGGCGGGCCUAACACAUGCAAGUCGAACGGAAGCACAGGAAGAGUUUGCCCUUACGGGUGGCGAGGGGCGGACGGGUGAGGAAUCCAUCGCAAUCUACUUUUACGUGGGGGAUAACGUAGAGCAACUUACGCUAACACCUCAUACGUUCUACGGGUGAGAGCAGGGGAUAUUCGCACUUUUCCUGUUUGAUUGAGCUGAUGUCGGACUAGCUAGGUGGGGAGGUAAAGGCCCACCAAGGCGACGAUCCGUAGCUGAUCUGAGAGGAUGAUCGGCCACACUGGAACUGAGACACGGUCCAGACUCCUACGGGAGGCAGCAGUAGGGAAUAUUAGGCAAUGGGCGAAAGCCUGAUGGAGCAAUACCGCGUGAGUGAUGAAGGCCUUCGGAUCGUAAAGCUCUGUUGUUGGGAAAGAACAACAGCGUAAUAAACCCCGGAGGUACUGACGGUACCUAAAGAAUAAGCACCGGCUAACUACGUG